RNAcentral lists this ribosomal RNA (116 nucleotides) under Propithecus coquereli (Coquerel's sifaka). Lineage: Eukaryota; Metazoa; Chordata; Mammalia; Primates; Indriidae. The record is from RNAcentral.
GUCUAUGGCCAUACCCUCCGGAAUGUGUCCGAUCUCGUCUGAUCUUGAAGCUAAGCAGGGUCAGGCCUGGUUAGUACUUGGAUGGGAGAAAAGAAAAACCUUAGUGACAAAAGACA